UCCACUGGUGGCUACCAACAGUUUAUGCCCU
RNAcentral lists this non-coding RNA (31 nucleotides) under Mus musculus (house mouse). The record is from RNAcentral. Lineage: Eukaryota; Metazoa; Chordata; Mammalia; Rodentia; Muridae.